CGGGCGAGUAACACGUGAGUGACCUGCCUUUUAGACUGGAACAACUUACCGAAAGGUGAGCUAAUGCCGGAUGAGUUAUAUAAGUGCAUGUUUAUAUAGGAAAAGUUGGGGAGACCUGACGCUGAAAGAUGGACUCGCGUCCCAUUAGCUAGUUGGUAGGGUAAUGGCCUACCAAGGCGACGAUGGGUAGCCGGCCUGAGAGGGUGGCCGGCCACACUGGGACUGAGACACGGCCCAGACUCCUACGGAAGGCAGCAG
RNAcentral lists this ribosomal RNA (258 nucleotides) under uncultured bacterium. RNAcentral describes it as "partial 16S ribosomal RNA". It matches the Rfam family "Bacterial small subunit ribosomal RNA", at positions 103 to 354 of the family's 1533-position model. The record is from RNAcentral.